CAGCAGGUUCGGGGCUUUAUCGCAAAGCACCUGGACUCAUUUCGGGCAGGCACGUAGGACAGACCGGAGGCUCAGUCUUUUCCUAAAGUCACGGAGCUGGUGAACGAAGGAGCUGGGAUUGGAACCCGGGUUUGCGUGAUUCCGAAGUUUGUGUGUAUGCCUGGUGUGUGACACCCCCUCCCUAAAUCUUCACCAGCGUGAAGAUUUCCUGAGCGCUUGGGAAGGAGACUGCUGCUCAGAGAGACUGAGGAUCCAAGUUACUUAGCCUGGCUCUUUCACUGCCACCUCUGGGGUCCUGGGCAAAUACCCCCCAUUAAUCUUUUCUGAUUGUGCUUCACGUCCAAGGCUGCCCUCUGCCUCGCUCCCCGCUGUGUCCCUACCCUUCAUUCUAUUCAGGGGUCUCCUUACCCCACCUACCCACCUCAUCCUCGUCCCACUGAACCUGACUCUGAACUACAGAGGUGGGCCCCCACCCCCACUCCCAAACAACUACCUGCCCCUCCGGCUGCCUCCAGGUCCACUGGGAAUUUGCCCCUAAUUGCAUCUCAGGCUGGGAGGCUAUUAGUUUGUGAUUGCGUCCCCAGGGCCUGCCCUGCCCCCUGGGCGCCCACUCUCAGCUUCCACAGGGGUUCGAGAUGACGUAAAUCCCCAAUCUGAGAACCUGGCCAGCUCAGCUCACCAGCACCCUGCCGCCCAGUCCUGGGUGGGCUGGGUCCCCUCACUCUGGGGCAGCAGGAGGAGGCUCCCAGCCAGUGGAGCGCAGUGCACACAGCACGGUGGGUGCGGCGGGGUCCCCAGACUGAGCCCUCCCCACUGCCUGCCCCCUGCAGCCUCCACUUCCUCCCUGCAUCCUCCCCAAGAAGGGCAGAGCCCUGGAGCAAAGACUCCUGAGUUCUUUUCCUGGCUCAGACACUUCCUCUCUGUGACCUUGGGCAAGUCCCUUCUACUCUCAGGGCCUCAGAAACAGGAGAUUCAUCUUGUUGAACUCUGACCAGCUUCUAGUCCGAAAGAUAAUACUAUUUCAGUCAUUCCUGGGGCUUUCCUUCCACUAAUAUUUAAUGAAUGCUAGCCAUGGUGCCAGGCAUUGGGGAUUCUAGAAAGGCAAGUUCCUGCCCUCAGAGUCCGCAGCCUCGAGAGGG
Molecule: long non-coding RNA, 1139 nt
Filed under: Equus caballus (horse)
Lineage: Eukaryota; Metazoa; Chordata; Mammalia; Perissodactyla; Equidae
Description: lncRNA (ENSECAG00000045955.1)
Source: RNAcentral